ACAUGCAGNUCGAACGAUGACUAUCUAGCUUGCUAGAUAUGAUUAGUGGCGAACGGGUGAGUAAUGCUUAGGAAUCUGCCUAUUAGUGGGGGAUAACCAUCCGAAAGGAUGGCUAAUACCGCAUACGUCUUACGAGAGAAAGGGGGCUUUUAGCUCUCGCUAAUAGAUGAGCCUAAGUCGGAUUAGCUAGUUGGUGGGGUAAAGGCCUACCAAGGCGACGAUCUGUAGCUGGUCUGAGAGGAUGAUCAGCCACACUGGGACUGAGACACGGCCCAGACUCCUACGGGAGGCAGCAGUGGGGAAUAUUGGACAAUGGGCGAAAGCCUGAUCCAGCCAUGCCGCGUGUGUGAAGAAGGCCUUUUGGUUGUAAAGCACUUUAAGUGGGGAGGAAAAGCUUGUGGUUAAUACCCACAAGCCCUGACGUUACCUACAGAAUAAGCACCGGCUAACUCUGUGCCAGCAGCCGCGGUAAUACAGAGGGUCCAACAAGGAACCGAAAGAAAUGGGCGUAAGCGAGCGUAGGUGGUCAUUUAAGUCAGAUGUGAAAGCCCCGGGCUUAACCUGGGAACUGCAUCUGAUACUGGGUGACUAGAGUAGGUGAGAGGGAAGUAGAAUUCCAGGUGUAGCGGUGAAAUGCGUAGAGAUCUGGAGGAAUACCGAUGGCGAAGGCAGCUUCCUGGCAUCAUACUGACACUGAGGUUCGAAAGCGUGGGUAGCAAACAGGAUUAGAUACCCUGGUAGUCCACGCCGUAAACGAUGUCUACCAGUCGUUGGGUCUUUUAAAGACUUAGUGACGCAGUUAACGCAAUAAGUAGACCGCCUGGGGAGUACGGCCGCAAGGUUAAAACUCAAAUGAAUUGACGGGGGCCCGCACAAGCGGUGGAGCAUGUGGUUUAAUUCGAUGCAACGCGAAGAACCUUACCUGGUCUUGACAUAGUAGGAAUCCUGCAGAGAUGCGGGAGUGCCUUCGGGAAUCUACAUACAGGUGCUGCAUGGCUGUCGUCAGCUCGUGUCGUGAGAUGUUGGGUUAAGUCCCGCAACGAGCGCAACCCUUUUCCUUAGUUACCAGCGACUCGGUCGGGAACUCUAAGGAUACUGCCAGUGACAAACUGGAGGAAGGCGGGGACGACGUCAAGUCAUCAUGGCCCUUACGACCAGGGCUACACACGUGCUACAAUGGUUGGUACAAAGGGUUGCUACACAGCGAUGUGAUGCUAAUCUCAAAAAGCCAAUCGUAGUCCGGAUUAGAGUCUGCAACUCGACUCUAUGAAGUCGGAAUCGCUAGUAAUCGCAGAUCAGAAUGCUGCGGUGAAUACGUUCCCGGGCCCUGUACACACCGCCCGUCACACCAUGGGAGUUGAUCUCACCAGAAGUGGG
This 1377-nucleotide ribosomal RNA is filed under the name Moraxella bovoculi. Its description in RNAcentral is "16S ribosomal RNA". It matches the Rfam family "Bacterial small subunit ribosomal RNA", at positions 53 to 1430 of the family's 1533-position model. Lineage: Bacteria; Pseudomonadati; Pseudomonadota; Gammaproteobacteria; Moraxellales; Moraxellaceae. The record is from RNAcentral.